AACGAACGCUGGCGGCAGGCCUAACACAUGCAAGUCGAGCGAGGACUUCGGUUCUAGCGGCGGACGGGUGAGUAACGCGUGGGAAUGUGCCCUUCUCUACGGAAUAGCCCUGGGAAACUGGGAGUAAUACCGGAUACGCCCUAUUGGGGAAAGAUUUAUCGGAGAAGGAUCAGCCCGCGUUGGAUUAGGUAGUUGGUGGGGUAAUGGCCUACCAAGCCGACGAUCCAUAGCUGGUUUGAGAGGAUGAUCAGCCACACUGGGACUGAGACACGGCCCAGACUCCUACGGGAGGCAGCAGUGGGGAAUCUUAGACAAUGGGGGCAACCCUGAUCUAGCCAUGCCGCGUGAGUGAUGAAGGCCUUAGGGUUGUAAAGCUCUUUCAGCUGGGAAGAUAAUGACGGUACCAGCAGAAGAAGCCCCGGCUAACUCCGUG
RNAcentral lists this ribosomal RNA (433 nucleotides) under uncultured bacterium. Its description in RNAcentral is "partial 16S ribosomal RNA". It matches the Rfam family "Bacterial small subunit ribosomal RNA", at positions 29 to 507 of the family's 1533-position model. The record is from RNAcentral.